GUUGAACGCCGGCGACAUGCCUUACACAUGCAAGUCGAACGGCAGCACGGGAGCAAUCCUGGUGGCGAGUGGCGAACGGGUGAGUAAUAUAUCGGAACGUGCCCAGUCGUGGGGGAUAACGCAGCGAAAGCUGUGCUAAUACCGCAUACGAUCUCAGGAUGAAAGCGGGGGAUCGCAAGACCUCGCGCGAUUGGAGCGGCCGAUAUCAGAUUAGCUAGUUGGUGGGGUAAAGGCCCACCAAGGCGACGAUCUGUAGCUGGUCUGAGAGGACGACCGGCCGCACUGGAACUGAGACACGGUCCAGAGUCCUACAGGAGGCAGCAGUGGGGAAUUUUGGACAAUGGUCGCAAGCCUGAUCCAGCAAUGCCGCGUGCAGGAUGAAGGCCUUCGGGUUGUAAACUGCUUUUGUACGGAACGAAACGGCCCUUUCUAAUACAGGGGGCUAAGGACGGUACCGUAAGAAUAAGCACCGGCUAACUACGUGCCAGCCGCCGCCGUAA
Molecule: ribosomal RNA, 500 nt
Filed under: uncultured bacterium
Lineage: Bacteria
Description: partial 16S ribosomal RNA
Rfam family: Bacterial small subunit ribosomal RNA
Source: RNAcentral